This is a long non-coding RNA of Aedes aegypti (yellow fever mosquito), 1656 nucleotides long. RefSeq lists it as uncharacterized. The record is from RefSeq and is a predicted model, not a curated record. Lineage: Eukaryota; Metazoa; Arthropoda; Insecta; Diptera; Culicidae. The transcript has 2 exons.
AAUAUCAACAUUUUGUUCCUGGAACUUCUGAACCAUAGCAAAAUUUGAUGUUCGCAGAUUUAAUGGAGCUAUUCAUUUAAUAUUUGCUGUUGAUGUCUUAUAUCUAUCAAGUCAUUCGUUUGCACACCGCAGGUUUAUGGCUUUCGGGAUGGUGUUGUGUAUUACUUUCUGCUCUUGUGAACAUUGGACAAUGUUCAUAAAAGUUCGUUUGCAGUAAGAUGACGAGAGGAUUUGUUUAACACUUAUAUUGGGAAACCUCUACCAGCAACAUUUGUGGACAGGCAAAGGGUGACAGUUAUAUAGAUGUGAAUUCUGACUGAGGGAGAUAGAUGUCAUGGAAAGUGUUCAGGAAACCCUACAGUUAUUGUCUCUGUACCGAUAGAGAUGGAUCUCCAAUAAAAACUUCGAAUAGAUUAGGUAUGGUUUUGAUGAUCAUUUGAAAUGCUAAUGUUCCACGAGUAAGGCUCAUCCAUGAGCAGAAGAAAAUUCAUUGAAUUUAUUGACAUUAUCUACAAAAUAUAUCUCUCACAACGACCAAAGCACUUAUUGUUUCAUUUUGCUUCAUAUUUUAAUUGCAUCCAACCGAGCGUUCCUGAAAAAUUUCGAUGCGAUAUCAACAGUUAGUCAUGGUGAUGUUGGAAAAUGACAAACAUGAUGGUAAUUUUACGUUUAAUUUCGUUUGUGCUUCAAAGUUAUGUUCUGAGUAGACCCGUAUGUAUUUCAGUCUGAAAUUAUUUUAUUUUUCAUGAUAUAAUGUUGAAUUUCGCAUGGAAAGUUUCUGGAAUGGUUUGUUUGGUGCACCUAAUUUAGUUUUUUUUUGUUUAUCAGAGGUUUUUUUAUUCGAAAAAAUUCAGCUUCAUUUUAAUAAUAGUAUUAAUAAAAUGAAUUGAUAUGGAUUAUCUACUAACUGUAGUUGAAAUAUACCUAUAGAAAUGGAAUGAUACAUUAAAGCUCUAAACAUCGAUUCUUUGUCACGGUUCGUCUCGAAUGCGAUUACUUUACUAGCACAAACUUCCACAAAAGCUUUUAUCUAUCCGCAAUAUCGCAGUUCGAACGAAGCUACUCCUUUCGUGGUUCCAAUGCUUUCCUUAAGCUCCAUCUGACAUCGCAUUGAUAUCUCUUUACAUGUUACAAAUAUCCAACAGAUCGUCAAAAAAUUUCUCUCUAUUUUCUUUGGGUUUGGCUUGCAUAUCCAAAUUUUAGAAUAUAUUCUUCAACACUGAUUUAAUUACACACUAACCAUUUUCUAUGUUACCGUCGAGAUACGUCUACCACUGUCAACUAGCACAUUGAGCCUGAACAAUUUUAUCGCGAUAAUAUGUGCGUAGAUAUUUCCCUUUAGUCUACCGCUUUGACUAUUACGCUAACGUUACACUUAUCGAAUCUUGCUUCAGUUCGUUGAUUUAAUUUCAAAAUGAGUCGUCAGUUAUCAAAGUGCAAUUGUGUCGCUUUUGAGCAAUCAUCACAUUUCAUUCUUUGAUUAUACAAACAACAGCAACUUUGAGUAGUAAGGACCGUCCUACUCUGGCCUAUCAGUAUCUAGUAUUCAGUAUUUGGUACAAAACGCUGCUCAAAUUGUUGCUGGCUAAAUUUGGAAUUACUCGUACCAUGACCCCACAGUUAUGGAUCAAAUAGUGUGAAGUUCAACCAAUAAAA